Chenopodium quinoa (quinoa) is the source of this 1121-nucleotide long non-coding RNA. RefSeq lists it as uncharacterized. The record is from RefSeq and is a predicted model, not a curated record. NCBI's taxonomy places the organism in Eukaryota, Viridiplantae, Streptophyta, Magnoliopsida, Caryophyllales, Amaranthaceae. The transcript is spliced from 3 exons.
CAGAUAUACUGAAAAUUACAAGAACCCCUAUUAGAAAUUCAACUAAGAAAAAUCGAAAAAUCAAAUUAAAUAUUCAGAAGAGAUCUUCUCAAUCAAGAUUUUUUGUCAUUUGAUUAUGCAGUGAGUGGCAUAGAAUUAUAACCCAUGUUUGCGUUCCCAAGUUGUCCGUUGAGGCACCUGUUUCAGGGUAUACUUCCGUAUUGCUCGAUUAUCGGGGAAAAGAACAAUGAAUGAGCCUGAAGGGUCUACCUCUCAAGAGUCUCAACAACUUAAAAAAAGAAAAGGUAAAUAUGUUAUGAUUGCUUUAUUUAUGAAUAGGUGCUAGAGCUGAGUUUUUGGGCUUUUCCUAUUGCCGAAUAUUGGUGAGCCAAUAUGGUUGCUUCACCUUAUGCUAAUAGAAUUUCAUAUAUGCUUCAUAGACAUGGCCAUUGUUGCUAUAGGCUAGUCACAGAUAACUGCUUUAAUUUUUCCCAGUUUGAUCAAAUAUUGAUUGCAACACAAACUCCUAGUUGAAUUAAUCUCCUGAUUGUCCUUAAUUAUUCAUCCUAGUUGUGCACUGAAUUUAUAACCUUCUUGUUUCUCGUAGCCUGAAGAGAGUUCUUUAUAUCUUUUUUUUUUUUUUUUUUUUUUGAGGGAUGAGUUCUUUAUAUCUUUUAUUCCUUUUAUCUUCAUUUUAUAUUUUCAUAUACAGCUACGUUUAUCUUUUCUAAUGGAAAUCCUUAUGUUGUUUUUUUAUCUUCCUGGUAAUAUGUAUGCAUGUGAUUUUCUAAAAUGAUGCGAGCUGAAUUGGAAGUUUCUAAGAAGAAACAAGAUGACCUAGAACUAAAGCUUCGGUUAGUCGUGGAGAAGAUUGGCCUUAAUGCUUAAUAGAGGACUCGAAACUGUUUCUUACCUGAAUCUGUCAAGUUUGCAGUCAGGGGAUCAAGUCAAUGUGCUGAUGUUUUGGAGAUGGACACCAAAAGGCGGGUUGCAUUACAGAUGGAAAAAAAGGGGAUGCUAGAAGCUGCAAGAAUGAGAAGAUUGCUUGAUAGUUCAUGUCCUAGAAAAAACAUUAUUAAAUUUUAGUACUCUUUGGCUUAGCUAUUUGCUAUUUAUAAAAACUUGGUUAAUACUUUUGUUUA